CUCUGCAAGCACCUUUUUAAAAAAUUGCCUGAGAAACUUCACAGAAUUCAACAUUCUUAGUGUCUUCUGCUCUGUUUUAUAAGGAUCUUGAAUUAAAAUGGAAGCCUUUAGGGGAAGGGCACUGGCCCUUUCCUUUACUUCUACUCUUGGUUCCUUUGGCCACUUCCAGCAGUUACCAGUGGAUGGUUCAGUUUUCCUUUUGCUGUUCCUGGGGAAUCUCCUCUCAUCUUGUUCCCCCAGGGAGAUGGUUACAAAAUGGGCCACCAGGAACUCCCCACAGAAAAUACACUGAAUAAGCCCUGAUGCCCAGCACCUGAUCCAAAGCCCAGGGUUAGGGUUCCGAAGCCAUGGGAAGACUGAAACGGUGCGUUCCUGUCCACACCAGUAUAGAUACCACUGGUGAGGACACCAUUCCGGGAACAUCUCUAGCAGCUGUCCUCCUCCGAGCAGCGGUCUCCCUGCGUGUACUUUUCACUGGUGAUUAAUGGACGGAAGGUCAAGUCCUCACUGUGUUAGGUCAGGCACAAAGCAGAGGACAAGCUAAAAAGCUGGCUUGGGCUCAGCUUACGCUUCACGCUCAGCGCUGCAGAAGGCAACAAAGAGGAGCCGGGACCAAGCGCCCGAGUCGGCAGCUUUGUCCUGCUCGGGCUCUGCCGCCGUCUCCCCCACAGCGACUGCUGUUUCGGCACCGGCAGUAUUGCGAGGAGGAGGAGGAGGAGGAGGAAAGCAAGAGCGGGUGAGGAGGAGGUGGCACCGUCAGCGCUGGGAUGGCGAGAGAGGAGGACACUGCCAGUCAUCCCCAGAACAGAGGAAUGUAUCGUUCUGAUGGCAAUUUUUGGAAGAUUUCAUAGCAUUCCUGGAUGAACAGAGUGAGAGACAGACAGACUGCAAGACAGCUCCGUAGUUAGGACACUGACCUGGGAUGUAGAGGACUGAGGUAAGUGGUAACUACUGACCUGCUGGCCAUUCUGGGACAUCUAUGGGUUUUGUUUUGUUUUGUUUGCACAAAAUUUCAAUAGGUCUUAGUUUUGUCCUGAUGUGGAGCAAAACAAAUUACAAAACAAAAUUCUUGUUUUCCAGCCAACCCUAGAAGUACUUCCAGUUGGCAAACGUUUUUAUGGUGUUACCCAUUUCCAAAGACUCUUAAAUCCCCAGGAUACGCUAUUUCUGUCCUCCUAUGAACCAUGCCAUGCAAACAUCUUAACUUGGGAGCACAUUUGCCUCACAAUAGCCUCAAAGUGUGUUAUCGUCCACUUGUGUCUGCUGCUCCUGAUGCAAAUCUGCCCAUCCAGGUCUCAUCAAGACAUGAAGAUAAAAAUGUUCUGAAAUGGAGUAUAUUCAGGUGAGCGAUAAUUUCUAUGAAUCUCCUCACCCUAAAAAUGUUAUAUUGAACUGGGGACAGAAGAUUGCUGGGGAAAAGGAAAAAAAAUGUUGAGAAGAGAACUGUCAUAGAAAAUAGGAAGCCUGGAGGGGGUAAGGUUUCAAUUCAUCAUCUUCAAUUUCAGGCAAACUUGUGCUGCUCAAGAAUUGUGUCCUAUGUUCACUCCUCUGUGAAAUAACUGAGAGGAUAGGAUUAUCCUGGUUAGGGAUAGGACUUCUGAAGUCAGAAGUGCAUUUGCAUGCAUUUACAAGUUUUCCUUCAG
Harpia harpyja (harpy eagle) is the source of this 1643-nucleotide long non-coding RNA. RefSeq lists it as uncharacterized. The transcript has 3 exons. Lineage: Eukaryota; Metazoa; Chordata; Aves; Accipitriformes; Accipitridae. The record is from RefSeq and is a predicted model, not a curated record.